CAAUACCAACGACUUGAGCCCAACGAGGAAAUGUAUCACAAGCUAUGAAUAGUUUUCCGGGAAACUCCUCUUAAAGCGAAAGUCGUCAGUCUUUUUACGCACUUGUGUAUCAUCUACAGUGUUCUGCCCAUUACUGCUGUUGGAAGGAAGGCUGUCACAACGAAGAAGUGCGAACAUCUUUCUUGAAGAUCGGGGAAUGGGUCUACU
Molecule: long non-coding RNA, 207 nt
Organism: Haliotis rubra (blacklip abalone)
Lineage: Eukaryota; Metazoa; Mollusca; Gastropoda; Lepetellida; Haliotidae
Exons: 2
Source: RefSeq, a predicted model, not a curated record